GAUGAACGCUGGCGGCGUGCCUAAUACAUGCAAGUCGAGCGAACGGACGAGAAGCUUGCCUCUCUGAUGUUAGCGGCGGACGGGUGAGUAACACGUGGAUAACCUACCUAUAAGACUGGGAUAACUUCGGGAAACCGGAGCUAAUACCGGAUGAUAUUUUGAACCGCAUGGUUCAAAAGUGAAAGACGGUCUUGCUGUCACUAUUAGAGGGACCGCGCUGCAUUAGCUAGUUGGUAAGGUAACGGCUUACCAAGGCAACGAUGCAUAGCCGACCUGAGAGGGUGAUCGGCCACACUGGAACUGAGACACGGUCCAGACUCCUACGGGAGGCAGCAGUAGGGAAUCUUCCGCAAUGGGCGAAAGCCUGACGGAGCAACGCCGCGUGAGUGAUGAAGGUCUUCGGAUCGUAAAACUCUGUUAUUAGGGAAGAACAUAUGUGUAAGUAACUGUGCACAUCUUGACGGUACCUAAUCAGAAAGCCACGGCUAACUACGUG
Molecule: ribosomal RNA, 496 nt
Filed under: uncultured bacterium
Lineage: Bacteria
Description: partial 16S ribosomal RNA
Rfam family: Bacterial small subunit ribosomal RNA
Source: RNAcentral